UGACCAGUCGUCCAAUGGUGAGGAUACUUGAGUUUGAGUCAAGUGAUGUAGGUUCGAAUCCUGCCUGGUUAG
Molecule: transfer RNA, 72 nt
Filed under: Haliscomenobacter hydrossis DSM 1100
Lineage: Bacteria; Pseudomonadati; Bacteroidota; Saprospiria; Saprospirales; Haliscomenobacteraceae
Description: tRNA-Gln (TTG) (tRNA-Gln-TTG-1-1)
Rfam family: tRNA
About the family: Transfer RNA (tRNA) molecules are approximately 80 nucleotides in length. Their secondary structure includes four short double-helical elements and three loops (D, anti-codon, and T loops).
Source: Rfam by way of RNAcentral